UACGUAGGGGGCUAGCGUUGCUCGGAAUCACUGGGCGUAAAGCGCACGUAGGCGGCUUUUUAAGUCAGGGGUGAAAUCCUGGAGCUCAACUCCAGAACUGCCUUUGAUACUGGGAAGCUCGAGUCCGGGAGAGGUGAGUGGAACUCCGAGUGUAGAGGUGAAAUUCGUAGAUAUUCGGAAGAACACCAGUGGCGAAGGCGGCUCACUGGCCCGGUACUGACGCUGAGGUGCGAAAGCGUGGGGAGCAAACAGG
This 253-nucleotide ribosomal RNA is filed under the name uncultured bacterium. Its description in RNAcentral is "partial 16S ribosomal RNA". It matches the Rfam family "Bacterial small subunit ribosomal RNA", at positions 524 to 776 of the family's 1533-position model. The record is from RNAcentral.